This is a long non-coding RNA of Triticum aestivum (bread wheat), 533 nucleotides long. RefSeq lists it as uncharacterized. The transcript is spliced from 3 exons. NCBI's taxonomy places the organism in Eukaryota, Viridiplantae, Streptophyta, Magnoliopsida, Poales, Poaceae. The record is from RefSeq and is a predicted model, not a curated record.
AUAGGGGCAGUUCCUCACCAACCAAUGUCAUAAUUUAUCACGUCCGCAAAUGAUUUUUGGACUGUAGUUUGGAUUGUUCUGCCGAGCGUAUAACAACGCAUGCUAUCUAUCAAAGCUUCGACUCAUUUGUUUUGCUGCUCCGGAAUAUUGAGACGAGAAGAAUGGCCUUGAUGCUGGAGGUUAAUGGAUCACCCUGGGAACGAUUUUGAGGUCAUUAUGCCAGCUACUUUGAUGGCAAUGGAUUAUGGAAUGGCAAACUAACAGGGCACAUCGCACAACUGGUAUAAAUGUGUUGAUAUGUUGCAUUUCAAGGCAGUUUCACUCAUAAAUACUACAAAGUUUGAACCAUUUAGCAUUUGGGACCAUGAGGAUUCCGAUUGGGAGAACGACGUCGUCCAUAGAUUAAUGGUGAGACUUUGGUGCUUUGAUUAAUUUCCAGGACCAUUGUUUCCUGUCCAGUGAUGCAAUCUGAAAAUCAUGCAAAAAUUUGUCAUGUUUGGGCAUUGUCAGUAUGGGAACACCGGGCCAACCCA